GAACUUGAUUUAUUUUUUUUAAUCAUAACCGAACUAUUUCUUAAAAUAGAAUUCUUUAAAUACAUGAACAUAGUGCAAUAAUAACUAAUAGCAAAUAUGUACUUUACAAAAUAUAAAUGAAAUUGUUAGAAUUGAAAACCAUAUACAUAAUUUAAUUUAAAGCAAAAAAUGAUCAAUAAUGUAAUAAAUGUCAUGAUGACUUUACUUUGUCAUUAGCCAUAAUUUCUAAUCUUUUUAUUACUUUUGUAAGAUCGAUUUCCUUUUGCAACUUCAAGUAAUCCACUUUUCGAACAUUAUGUAUGCUAGACCACGUGGGUAGCAGUUUACACAAUAAACGUAGAUGGUCCUCUAGUUCAGCAGGAGAUAAUUUAGCUCUAAACGAGUUCUCUAAUUUGCCUCUUUUUCUGCAUUUGGUGGACGUGUCAUAG
RNAcentral lists this unclassified non-coding RNA (428 nucleotides) under Bombus terrestris (buff-tailed bumblebee). Its description in RNAcentral is "misc RNA ENSBTSG00005030106.1". Lineage: Eukaryota; Metazoa; Arthropoda; Insecta; Hymenoptera; Apidae. The record is from RNAcentral.